Molecule: ribosomal RNA, 495 nt
Filed under: uncultured bacterium
Lineage: Bacteria
Description: bacterial SSU rRNA
Rfam family: Bacterial small subunit ribosomal RNA
Source: RNAcentral
GAUGAACGCUAGCUACAGGCUUAACACAUGCAAGUCGAGGGGCAUCGCAGUGUAGCAAUACAUGGGCGGCGACCGGCGCACGGGUGCGUAACGCGUAUCCAACCUUCCCGUUACUCAGGGAUAGCCUUCCGAAAGGGAGAUUAAUACCUGAUGGUAUCAGAAUUUCGCAUGUUAUUCUGAUUAAAGAUUUAUCGGUAACGGAUGGGGAUGCGUGACAUUAGGUAGAUGGCGGGGUAACGGCCACCAUGCCUACGAUGUCUAGGGGUUCUGAGAGGAAGGUCCCCCACACUGGAACUGAGACACGGUCCAGACUCCUACGGGAGGCAGCAGUGAGGAAUAUUGGUCAAUGGUCGGAAGGCUGAACCAGCCAAGUAGCGUGAAGGAUGAAGGUUCUAUGGAUUGUAAACUUCUUUAUACGGGAAUAAAACCACCUACGUGUAGGUGCUUGUAUGUACCGUAUGAAUAAGCAUCGGCUAACUCCGUGCCAGCAGCCGC